Long non-coding RNA from Betta splendens (Siamese fighting fish), 957 nucleotides. RefSeq lists it as uncharacterized. The record is from RefSeq and is a predicted model, not a curated record. NCBI's taxonomy places the organism in Eukaryota, Metazoa, Chordata, Actinopteri, Anabantiformes, Osphronemidae. The transcript has 2 exons.
ACCAGACAUGGAGCGGAACGUGGCCGAUUCCUCCUCCAUCCAGGUCAAAGCCAUGAUUGAUCACUAAUUUCCCUAAUGAAGGUGAAAAAUAAUCUCAGAAGGUGUUUUAACUUUCAGAAGAAGAAAACACAUUUUAUUCAGUCCAGAUCCAGAUGUUUUAUUUCUUACUUUUUUCUGAUGUGGACAUUUGUUGUAUAUAAUUUGAUUCAUGAGAAUCUCUCUUUCUCUCUCUCUCUCUCUCUCUCUUCUUCCUCCGCUCACACACACUCACACCUGUUCCCCAUUAACUAAAUCCUUCCCUGGCUCUCACAUUCCCUCCAGCUGCACUCGCUUCGUAAUCAAGACGACUUUUAUGCCUCCACUGUCGCUCGUGAUGUGCUCUGUUCUGCUCCGUUCUGCUGACGUUCCUCGGACGCCGUGUGAGGAUUCCUCCCUGAGAUCAUGCAGCCUGUGCUGUUUAACCUCCAGUCCUUCGCCGUCUCAUCUUUGUCUGUGGUCAAACGAAAUGCACCCUCGUCUUCCUCCUCGUUUCCUAAAGCAGGCAGCAGGAUUCACAGCACAGAAGACGGAGCUGCAGCUUCAGUCCCACUGGCCACUCGCACUUUAUUAGCAUAAUUAAGUUCCGUCAGCUGGGGUCUUCUCACUUUCAUAUCUGUUGGCGCCUCUGGAGAGUCUGAGGGGAGCUCGCGCUAUCGAAACACGGCCGACUGCUCAUCCCAUUCAUUCUCAUUACCGUGAAGAAGUGUGGUGUCAAGUUCAACACGAAACGAUGAAAAGUUCCAGCACUUUUUGCCUCACAAAUGCUGGACAUCAUUGCUUGGUUAACUUUUACGCCUAUAGUAAAAAUGAGGUCCAAACUACUGCUCCAUCUUAACUAUUAUAUGCUUGUUACUGCCUGUAUUGUUUUGCAUGAGGCUACUUUUUUUUGUUUGGAGCAUUAUUAAAUUCCAUAAAGGC